UAGGGAAUCUUCGGCAAUGGGGGCAACCCUGACCGAGCAACGCCGCGUGAGUGAAGAAGGUUUUCGGAUCGUAAAGCUCUGUUGUAAGAGAAGAACGUGUGUGAGAGUGGAAAGUUCACACAGUGACGGUAACUUACCAGAAAGGGACGGCUAACUACGUGCCAGCAGCCGCGGUAAUACGUAGGUCCCGAGCGUUGUCCGGAUUUAUUGGGCGUAAAGCGAGCGCAGGCGGUUUAAUAAGUCUGAAGUUAAAGGCAGUGGCUUAACCAUUGUUCGCUUUGGAAACUGUUAAACUUGAGUGCAGAAGGGGAGAGUGGAAUUCCAUGUGCAGCGGUGAAAUGCGUAGAUAUAUGGAGGAACACCGGUGGCGAAAGCGGCUCUCUGGUCUGUAACUGACGCUGAGGCUCGAAAGCGUGGGGAGCAAACAGG
This 429-nucleotide ribosomal RNA is filed under the name bacterium. RNAcentral's name for it is "partial 16S ribosomal RNA". It matches the Rfam family "Bacterial small subunit ribosomal RNA", at positions 355 to 776 of the family's 1533-position model. The record is from RNAcentral.